GGUAUAGCUCAGCGAUAGAGGACAUGCUUAGCAUGCAUGAGGUCCUGAGUUCAAUCCCCAGUACC
This 65-nucleotide transfer RNA is filed under the name Camelus bactrianus (Bactrian camel). It matches the Rfam family "tRNA". Rfam says of the family: Transfer RNA (tRNA) molecules are approximately 80 nucleotides in length. Their secondary structure includes four short double-helical elements and three loops (D, anti-codon, and T loops). Further hydrogen bonds mediate the characteristic L-shaped molecular structure. tRNAs have two regions of fundamental functional importance: the anti-codon, which is responsible for specific mRNA codon recognition, and the 3' end, to which the tRNAs corresponding amino acid is attached (by aminoacyl-tRNA synthetases). tRNAs cope with the degeneracy of the genetic code in two manners: having more than one tRNA (with a specific anti-codon) for a particular amino acid; and 'wobble' base-pairing, i.e. permitting non-standard base-pairing at the 3rd anti-codon position. The record is from Rfam by way of RNAcentral. Lineage: Eukaryota; Metazoa; Chordata; Mammalia; Artiodactyla; Camelidae. RNAcentral also lists the same sequence under 2 other names.